GGUGGAAGAGUUAUAUUUGGUCCUGUAGACAUAUCGGACAACUCUUCGAAUACUGAUGGGAGCAUCAUCAUUCAACCUGGCUUAUGGGACAGAGAUGAUGAUUUCACUUGAGAUCGAAUUACCAUCAGCAAGAGUAGAACAAUAUAAUGAGCCGAAUAAUUCAGAAUGUCAGAAAUUCAAUUUAGAUUUACUUCUGAAAGUUCAAU
RNAcentral lists this long non-coding RNA (206 nucleotides) under Elaeis guineensis (African oil palm). RNAcentral's name for it is "long non-coding RNA (EGUI_LNC016685)". The record is from RNAcentral. Lineage: Eukaryota; Viridiplantae; Streptophyta; Magnoliopsida; Arecales; Arecaceae.